GGGCGAUUGACUCAGUUGGUUCAGAGUGCCUCCCUUACAAGGAGGAAGUCACAGGUUCGAAUCCUGUAUCGCCCACCA
This 78-nucleotide transfer RNA is filed under the name Candidatus Latescibacterota bacterium. Its description in RNAcentral is "tRNA-Val". It matches the Rfam family "tRNA". Rfam says of the family: Transfer RNA (tRNA) molecules are approximately 80 nucleotides in length. Their secondary structure includes four short double-helical elements and three loops (D, anti-codon, and T loops). The record is from RNAcentral. Lineage: Bacteria; Pseudomonadati; Candidatus Latescibacterota. RNAcentral also lists the same sequence under 1 other name.